AACUGCGAGUGAAGCGGGAAAAGCUCAAAUUUAAAAUCUGGUGGUCUUUUGGUCAUCCGAGUUGUAAUUUAGAGAAGCGUCUUCCGCGCCGGACCRUGCACAAGUCUCCUGGAAUGGAGCGUCAUAGAGGGUGAGAAUCCCGUCUUUGGCAUGGACACCCGGGGCUUCUGUGAUGCGCUCUCGAAGAGUCGAGUUGUUUGGGAAUGCAGCUCAAAAUGGGUGGUGAACUCCAUCUAAAGCUAAAUAUUGGCGAGAGACCGAUAGCGAACAAGUACCGUGAGGGAAAGAUGAAAAGCACUUUGGAAAGAGAGUGAAACAGUACGUGAAAUUGUUGAAAGGGAAACGCUUGAAGUCAGUCGCGUUGACCGAGACUCAGCCUUGCCUUGGCUUGGUGUACUUCUCGGCUGACGGGCCAGUAUCAAUUUUGUCCCUCGGAUAAUGGCAAGGGAAAGGUGGCACCUUUACCGGUGUGUUAUAGUCUCUUGUCGCAUGCGAGGGGCGGGAUUGAGGAACUCAGCACGCACCUUUUGGUGUCGGGGCCUUGGCCC
This 548-nucleotide ribosomal RNA is filed under the name Lactifluus viridilacteus. Its description in RNAcentral is "Lactifluus sp. 6 HL-2019 partial large subunit ribosomal RNA". Lineage: Eukaryota; Fungi; Basidiomycota; Agaricomycetes; Russulales; Russulaceae. The record is from RNAcentral.